Molecule: long non-coding RNA, 7590 nt
Organism: Passer domesticus (house sparrow)
Lineage: Eukaryota; Metazoa; Chordata; Aves; Passeriformes; Passeridae
Exons: 3
Source: RefSeq, a predicted model, not a curated record
GAGGGAGAGUACCUGAAAGAGGUAAAGGAAAAGAGUUACUCAUCAUGGUGGAGAGAGUGUCCGAGCUCUGUGCAGACACCCAACCUUUCCUUCUGCCUGAGAAACUAAGACUGAAUUAGCCUUUGGGUGCAGCAGCAGAACUGCUGGGGAUGUCCCUAAUUAGCUGAGGGGAUCCGUGCAUGGAACUGUGGAUGCUUUGGCCUUCUCUCUCCAAGCCUUCCUCUCACUUCAUACAUGGCAAGGAUUUAGCAAGCAUCACCACAUUAAUCCUGCUCCUCGCCAGCAUUUCAGGAAAUGACAGUGUCCUGCAAAUAUACGCAGGUGAGCUGCGCUGCUGCAUAUGCUUGGCCUUCUGGCUAACAUGUCCUACAGUGUCAUCAGCCAUGGAGAGGUGCUGUGGCAAUACUGCCUUACUACUCUCUUUUCUCCUUGGUUCAGACUCAAAUCUUCAGGUUUUGGCAUCUCCACACUCUUCCUCAAUGAAGAAUGCGAGAUCUGAGGUGGGUGGUCACAGGUUAGGUGAUAGAGAAAAGACAGAUCUUGAAGAAGAAAUGAGCCCUUCAGGCCUUGCCUUGCUUUAGUAAUGCUUUUGGGAGGCAGUUUUCUUGGACCCGCUGUUUGGCCCUCUGAUAGCUGUGUCUCCUUUAUGCUAUUCUGUUAGAGCUCCUUUUGUGUGUUGCAGAAGAUGUCAUUAGGAGGAGGAGUCCACAAAGCUGUUGAAAACAUCUUUCCUGUACAUCUUUCUCACACACCCCUUCCAUCACUACCCAUCCCCACACAGGGGAUUACAUCUGCACUUCCCACACACUCACCUGGGAACCCCAUACACCCACACCUACACACAUUGACACAAAUGCACCAGAGUCUUAUUUUCUGUGUUCCCUGACCUUCCUUUCCUCUUCCCAUCUGUUUGUUGAAUAAUUCCUGGCUAAAUAACUUUCUCUGGGCAGCCCCUGGGCUGGGGCACAGGGACUUGCCCCCUCUCCCGCCUGGCUGUCCAGGGGGCCUUUGAACAUGUGUUUCUGGGAGGCAGACACCAGCUGGCUGGGUGACAUUUGCAUAGUCAGCUAAAAGCCCAUGAGCUGAGCUGGGAAUGUCUGGAGGAGCCUGUGGCAGGAUGGAGGGAAGAGGGAAGCGCUGGUCAGCUCGAGGUCAGCUGGAACAGAUUUCUCAACAAACAGACAGAUGGUGAAAGGAGAUGAGGGGUGGGGGGAGCAUGCAAAGGCUCCUACAUCAAAUAUGUUAGUCACUAAAUGCAGUAUAAGUGACCAAUGUGCCUAUGGGCAAGGCAGUCACCAUGCUGCUUCCUUCCAAUCCCAUGGGAUAGAUGUAUCAGGAGGACACAGGCUCUCAUUGCUCUUUGCACAAGGAAGGGGAACAGGGUGGAGCAGGGAAGGGGCAGGGAGAGGCAUGAUCCCAAUGCUGUGAAGAAGCAGCAGGAGCUGGAGGCUCCAUGCAGCCUCCUGCAGUGAGCCAAAGGGGCCCUGUUUCCUGGCUCCAUCCAGGCACCAGCAGGGCUGCAUGACUGUGAGGAUUGGCCCCCAGUUGGUCUGAUCACACUGAGCUCACAAAGCAUCACCCAGCUUGGCAGGUUUGGGAGUGGGGGUUGCACAGUCCCAAGCACAAGGUACCAUCCCUCAUUGUACAGAUCCCCCCCAUCCCUGUUGUUGCUGCCUGCUGUUUGCCCCACUUCCCCCCCUACUCCAGCUCAUUUCAUUGGACUGAAAAUAAUAAAGCAAUCUGUAUGGUUUUGCUCCUACAAGGACAUGUCUUUGCCAUUCCAAAAUAACAGCAAAACAUAUUUAUGAGCCCCUGUGCUGCCUUUGCCCUCUCUACUGAUCACUGUUCCCGGCUGCCUGCCUGCUUUCAUGCUCUUUUCUCUCUGCACAGCCCAUUCCUCAGGACAGAAAAUACACUUUAUUUUUUCAUCCCACAGCACCUUUUGGAGGACUGGAGAAAAAAAGCACUCCCUUAUCAUGGGAAUUACUCAGGCAGAGAGAACUGACGUUUGUCCCCAGUGCUUAGAGUGGCCACAAUUGAAUACUUCAGGAUAAAAAGGCCAGGAAACACUAUAAUGGACAAUUAGGGGCUAAGCCACCCAGAGAUUACUGUUUCCCUCCUUCCAAGGUGUUUAGCAGUUGCCACAUGUCCUUGACCAGAAAGGUUCACAAAUUACUUGUCUUUAAAAUCCUGGGCUUAUAUCCUCCAUGUACCACUGGUAACUGCUAGAGGCUAGUUAUGCACUGUAAUAUGAGGUAUUCCCAUUACAUACCCAUGUUUUGUUUUAUUCUUUAGGAGAAAUAGAAAUGCAAUGCAUUUAUGUAAUUUUAAAUGCAAUUUGGGUUUUACUUUUUUUUCCCCUAAUGCUGUUGCCUAGAUAGUGCUAAAUCCUCUCCUGAGGGAUGCAAACACAUGUUACACAUGUUCCCCAUGAUGACUGCAGGCAGACAGAUGUUACAGGAAUAUGUAAGGAAGGCUGUCACUCAGACCAGUUAGAGCAGGGAAAUUGCACAUAAACUCCUUGUGUGUAUGAUCCCACCCCAUGUAAAGGGGGUCUGCACGUUAAGCAAAAUUGACAAGGUUCUGAUGGCACCAAUAAGCCUUAAUUGCCCUGGUCUCACCUGGGACCCACACCCAGGAGCUUAAUUUAACUGGCCCCUCAGCUUGGGCCACUCAUCACUCUCCUGAGCUGUGCUGUAGUUCUGCCUCUCUCCAGCUUGGCCUCAUUUCCUGACCUCAGCCCUAGGCUGCAGCAGUGUCUUCAGCCCCAGCUCUUGCUGCUCCUGAUGGGACUCCCUGCAUGAACCCUGGGCCUGCUUCAUCACUUUGCCACGCUAGGCCCAUGGGUGGGCCCUGUAACCAGCACAGCUUUACCUCUGAGCACCCCUCCAGUUCUGCAGGACCAUGCCUUGAUUGCUUCAUCACAGGUUUUUUUGGAAGUCCAAGUAAUGUGUAUUCUUCACAGCAAUCAGGAGUUUGAUUUGGCCAUAUCAGCAGGUGUGGCACCUUGUCACAAGUCCCAGCACUGCAUCCUGCACGUGGUAAUUGCUCAGCCAACUGCCAGCAAUGAUGGAGUCCUCAUGAAUCCUCACUGAGGUAGGAUCUGCAUCGCUAUUCAGUGCUCAGCACACAAUACUGGAAGGAGGGUUCAUACACACCAGGUCCCACAAAGCCUCUGGUUCCCCUCACUUCAGCUCACUCUGUCUCCACCAGGCAGACUUUAUCGAUCCACUGCCACAUGUGUGAAGGCAGGCACCAGUCCCAGAAGGCCCAGAGCAUCUCCUGGGGCAGAAAGGGUAGAGGAGGAUUUGGUAGACCCUACUGGCAUUCCAGUACAGGGGAGCAGUGUUAGACCAGAGAAGAUCUGAUUCAGUGAGUCUGAAGAAAAGACACAUGUUUUAAAACAUAAAAUCAAUUUGUUGUGCAGUGUGAAAUCCUCUUUCUUUUGCUGGGCACAAGUGAAAUCUUUUGGCCUCAUGUAGAGGAGCUGUGGGACAACAAUAAAACCUAAAAUCCAGACCACAUUUAAUGGAACUAGACAGACUCACUGCAAGAUUAAAAUACAAGUUUUGCAGACAAGCCAGCCCUACUUUCUAUAUUACUUCAUGUUCAUAGCUAGAAAGUUCUUUCAGACAUCUCUGUGGAGUGUAUUAGGGACGCUGGAAAUUAAACACAGGCCUGUCAAAGGAUGUUGAAAUAGAGGUCAAUCAUUUGGACUAUCAGGAACUCUUAAAGUCCAGAUUAAAAGGAUACCAAAGAUGCUGGCAGCAGAUUAAAUAAAUGUAUGCCUGAGUUUCACUGCACCCUCAAAGAUACUUGGGAACCAGAACAUAUUAGGGGAACAGCACCUGAUGCUUGUAGAACAGUAACCAGAAAUAAACCAACCCUGUCUGUUCCACAACUUCUGUUGGGCUUUUGGCCCAACAUCAGGCAAGGGUCCUGAUGUUGCGCCAAAAGCAAGAGCUUUGACUGUAGAGUAAAAAGUAUUUACUGCUGUGGUCUGUAAAAGAAUGCAGACUGGAUAUUUGCCCUGCAAAUGACACCAAAGAAGAGAAAACACCAAUUUUUUUUCCCUGCUGUCUCUCUCCACUUUUGCUGACUCCCUCAGCAGCAUGGUUUCUCCACCCAUUCCCAGUGCUGCUAAACAGCUCCCUCAGAUCAGCACGUAGUGAUAUUGGUGGUGUUCGGGUAAUCUGUGUCACAGGAGCAUGUGGUGACUCAUUUUUCCAGGCCCAUGGGAGUCACUAAUUUGAACUGUUACCAGCUUCUUUGGCAACACCCAUGGAAUGAUAUGGGAAUAUGAAGCUAGGAUAUGACCCACUCCAUAAAGGAAGGACACAGAGCUAUCUCUGCAAUUGACUGAUUCGCUUGAGCUUCUGCAAUGAAGUUCCUGGAUUCUCUGCACAUCAUUUGUUCCCUCAGUGUUUCUCACUGUUGCUAAAUUGAUAAUCCUCAGUGAUGUGGUGGAGCCACCAAUCCUGGUGACAGUGGAAUUCUUCCCCUUUUUCAUCAUGUUUGGUAGUACUAAAAUAUUCUUAAUUGAUAGUGGCUUGUCCAGUUACUCAGAAAGAGCUACCAUGAGGUCCACCAUUAAAGCUAUCACUAGAUCAGUUUGCGUGGCCUUUACUAGCAGGAGUUUGCAUGAGCCCAGUGGUACAAAACGCCAGGAAAGAAGCUGAGCUCUGUAAGUGUGUUUGGAUUGUCCUCCCUAGCUAUAUUCUUGGGGCUGGUAUUCAGUGAUUGUUGCCUUACACACAUAGCCAGAGCCUCCAUGACAGCCUCCUCCCCCACCUUGCCAUUUUCACACAGCUUUUGUCACUGGGCUACCCAUGCUGAGCCUGCCUGGCAUCGCCUCACACAAAUGUCAACGUUGGUGGACUGACACCUCCAGAUGGGAGCGAUCCAAGGCAGACUGUACCAGCUCCCAGGGAGAAGAUCCUAGAAGGAUCUUGACAUAUGCAGAGCCUCCCAGAUGCCAUUUUUGUCACUUUCAGGUGCUGUUUCAACUUGGACUAGGGAAAAUGGGCUUUGAAGGCAUCUGAGGGAGUGUUCUUCCAAGACAAGUAGACACAGGCUGGUUAGUCACACCAAGAUGCUGGUGAGUGUUUGAUGCACAGAGAAGGCCUCUCCCUCUGGCCAAUGUACACCUAUUUCUGGUAAGGACUGGAUGUCUAAGAGUGGGUACAUCCCAGCACACCCACACAGCUGGACCAAACUGAUAGCCCAAGAUUUUCCAGAGGGCAACUUGCAACUCAACAGCCGAAGUCUUCAGAAAAUCCUUCCAGGUAGUGGGCAGGAAGGAAGCGUGGCAGUACAGCCUUGUCCACCAUGCACUUCUCCCUCCCUCGCUCCCUCCCUCCCUCCCUUUCAGUCCUGUCCUUUCUCAAUACCCAGGAAAGAUUAACUCCUCUUCGCACACCAGAGAAAGUUAUUAUCAUUAAUGAAGAAUUAAAAGAGAGUGAUUAAUAAAGGGCCCUUAUCUGGCCGUGAGGAGGAGGCUGGACAAUGGAAGGAAGAUGGAGAAAAUGAAAAACAAUAAAUAUGAAGCGUAAAAGGAGGCGAGCACUGCUCCCACUUGUUAGAUCGCAGCUGCAUCUCCUGAGGGGGGAAGGCUCCAAAUUGCUAAUUACUGCCUCUGAAAAGACCUCGCUCUGAUAUGUUUUCUGCUGAAAGGUUCCCAUUAAUGAAGCAGCGAUGAUGCCGUUUCCCUUUGACUUGCCUUCAAUUCCCUCCCUGAGCUUCCUCCCAAGCCGGGAACAAUGAGGCCCUGGGAGCUGGCGGCUCCCACAGGCCUCUCGGAGACUAGGCCGGGGGCAGCCGAGUGAGGGGAGCCGAGCCGGCUGUGAAAUAUGGAGGGGGGAGAUAAGGCAAAGACAGAGGAAAGAGGCUCACUCCCAGGAGCCCAGGGAAAAUUUGCAGUUAUUAUGAAGGAGAUGAGACAGAUUAAAAGCCCUUGUGUUCUGCGCUGCCCUUUUAUUUAGUGGCUUCAUCUCUGAGAUGAAAGAAGUUGGAAAUGACUUUCUCCGCAUUUUGCUGCAAGAAGCUUCACGGCACAUUUUUUGACUUUAUUCCUCCCUUUGUCUCUUGUCCCCUUUCUGUCUCUCUUUUUCCUUUUAACCCCUGGAAGGUUUUGCUGUGAAAUGUCAUGGGACUAGGCAGAGCAUUUGCUGGGGUAGAGCAAUGACCCUGCUGCUCUCCCCAUCCUACUGGGCUGUACGGCUCCCGCUGCCCACCGAGGAGGGAGCUGGGCCAAGGCACGGCCACGACAAGCAGAGAGCAGCCAGCCAAGCUUCCUGUCCUGCUUGCCUCAGAAAUGUCCCUCACCACUAACACACCCUCUCCUGCCUCCAGGCCCAGCAGCAGCUCAGCACAGGUGACCGCAGCCUCUGGGCAGGAAAAAACCCCAUCCUUACAAAGCCAAGUGAUGGAUAAGAAUACAUGUGGGAUAAGAGUGCUGAACAUUUUGUAUCCCUGGAGCAUUUAAUGAGCAAAAUUGGUGCUGAGAAGUUGGGACAGUUCCCAUUGAGGCAACCUACAAAGUGCACAGAGAGUAAACAAUUUGCCAGGGAUGAGGGAUGAAGUUGAAUGCAGACAUGGAUUCAAAAUUAACUUUUGCUGACCCUGUCAGGGGUCAGGACCUUGUAAGACUGGACAGAAAUACCAUAAACUGCUCAAAACCAGAUUAUCCCAACUGCCUCAUUAUAUUUCUUGAACUCUUAUUCAAAUUUUUCUAAUUUUUCCCCGGACACAUCAGUGCUCCUUUGUGGUACCCUUUUAGUUCUUGGGACCCUUGCAAUUGCAAGAGCACUUUCAUCCUGUCUUUUGCUUUUGUCCUAUCUCUCUCACAGAAAACCGACCCUGUGUACCAGUAUGUUGUCUUUACUCAGGCCAAAUGCUGACAACAUCUGCAGAAAUUUGAGUGUUGAAUAUGGAAAAAAAUAAUGGAUGGUUGAAGUAAAAUUUAUACCAGUUGCAAAACAUUUUGUUGACCUACAGAAACAGCAGAGAACUAGUUGGGAAAUGAGGGGAAAAUAAAAGAAAUUAGAGUGGGCAUCUGCUGUCAUCUCCCCAGGACAUCUGAAUACAGGAUUUCUUGUACACAAUUGUUUGUCUGGUUUGUUAUCCUGCCUGGAACGGCAGCCAGUAUCGAGUGCUUGAAAUGAAGGGGUAAGAAGCUCUGAAGUGAUGUUUACAGAAUAACCUUCCCAUCAGGGGAGUUUCUCUGUAACCCAGACAUUUUGUAGCUGUUUUAUAUCCUGAAGCAUGAAAAAGGAUUGCAGCGGUGAAACAGGAUUAGAUUUUAGGAGGGAUUUUCUCUCAGAUCUGAGAGUAAAAAGAAAACCCCUGUAUUGAAAAUAGGAAACUGGCAGGGAAAACAAAAUGCUGCUAGCAAGUAAGGUGAGUUACUACCCCAGAAAGGGUUAAAAAACCAAAAGGACAGAAUUUUACAGGCAAAUUGGUACACAUAAAGUAACUUUAAUCAAGUCAGCUAUUGGAAAUGGGAUUUUAAAAAUCUACCUAAUGACUGCUUUUCUUCUUUUAAUAUUUAUUUUCUAAGGAAAUAAUAGCGAACUACAAGGAAAUGAAAAU